AUGAGGGCGACCAGUCUACUGCGGUUGCUCUUGAUCUGCUUCUACCUCCUUUUGGUCCACACCUUCGGCGCCUCCGGUGUUGGUGACAAGCUCGAGAAGGGCCAGAACCUCACCGACGGCGACACGCUCGUCUCGGCCGGUGGCUCCUUCACCCUCGGCUUCUUCUCUCCCGGGGCGUCCACCAAGAGGUACCUCGGCAUAUGGUUCUCCGUGUCCAACGGCACCGCCGUCUGCUGGGUUGCCAACCGCGACCAACCUCUGGUCGACAAGUCCGGCAUGCUGGUGCUCAACGACCUCGGCAGCCUCGUUCUGUUAGAUGGUUCCCGCCGGACGGUCUGGUCUUCAGACUUCUCCGCCGGCGCUUCUGCGGUGGUGGCGCAGCUUCUCGUGUCCGGCAGCCUGGUCGUACACAAUGGCAGCAGCGACGCCUCCCUGUGGCAGUCGUUCGACCAUCCGUCGGACACCUUGCUGCCUGACAUGAAGCUCGGCAAGAACCGCUGGAGCGGAGCCGAGUGGCAGCUCACGUCGUGGCGCUCGGCCGACGACCCGGCUCCGGGGGACUACCGCCGCACGCUGGAAAGCAAGGGGUUACCGGAGCUCGUGGUGUGGCGUGGCAACGUCAAGACGUACCGCACGGGGCCGUGGAACGGGCUCUACUUCAACGGCGUCCCGGAGGUGUCGGCGUACGCGGGCAAAUACCCUCUGCGGGCGACGACGAGCCCGUGGGAGGUCACCUACGGGUACACCGCCGCGCCCGGCGCGCCGCUGACCCGCGUCGUGGUGAACCACACCGGCAAGGCGGAGCGGUGGGAGUGGGACGCGAGCAGCUGGGCGUGGACUCGUAUAUUCCAGGGGCCGAGGGACCCGUGCGACGAGUACGGGAGAUGCGGGCCGUUCGGCCUCUGCGACCCCGAGGCCGCGUCGUCGGGGUUCUGCGGCUGCGUCGACGGGUUCAGCAUCCCUGCCGCCACGACCCUGUCGGCGCAGGCGGUGAAGGGUACCACCUGCCGAAGACAUGCAGCCCUGGACUGUGCCGGCGGCACUACGACGGACGGCUUCGUGGUGGUGCGGGGGGUGAAGCUUCCCGACACGCAGAACGCGUCGGUGGACAUGGGCGUCACGCUGGAGGAGUGCAGGGCGAGGUGCUUCGCCAACUGCUCGUGCUUGGCCUACGCCGCCGCCGACAUCAGGGGAGGCGGCGAUGGUUCCGGCUGCGUCAUGUGGACGGAUGCCAUCGUUGAUCUACGUCUCGUGGCCAUGGGGCAGAAUCUCUACCUGAGGUUGUCAAAAUCAGAACUUGAUGACCAUAAAAAGUUCCUUGUUCUACUCGUUUCCAUACCUUUAGCUUCGAUUGUUAUUAUUAUACUGGUCGUCUUUGCAAUUUGGUGGAGAAGGAAGCGCACAAUCAUAGGUGCUAUUCCUCAGAGCCAUGCCAUGGCCGUUCCCUUAGUUAGUCUAGCGAUUAUAAAGGAUGUCACUGGAAAUUUCUGCGAAAGCAAUAUGAUCGGCCAAGGUGGAUUUAGCAUCGUUUACAAGGGGCAGCUGCCUGAAGGAAGAACAAUUGCUGUCAAGAGGCUUAAGCAGUCGGUGCUCACCACAAAAGGCAAGAAAGAUUUUGCAAGAGAAGUGGAGGUGAUGGCUGGGCUCCGGCAUGGUAGUCUUGUCCGUCUCCUUGCCUACUGCAAUGAAAGCAAGGAGCGGAUACUCAUCUACGAAUACAUGCAAAACAAGAGCCUAAACGUCCACAUAUUCAGCAAUGUCAACCUUCGUGCCUCACUGAACUGGGCAAGGAGACUGGAAUUAAUUCGAGGGAUUGCGCAUGGCAUUGCAUACCUACACGGAGGAUCUGGUGACAAUGUUAUCCAUAGGGAUCUUAAGCCGGGCAACAUUCUGCUAGACGACGAAUGGAAGCCUAAAAUCGCUGACUUUGGAACUGCCAAGCUGUUUGCAGUGGAUCAGACCGGGCCUGAUCAAACAAUUGUAGUUUCACCGGGGUAUGCAGCGCCGGAGUACGCGCGGCAAGGGAACAUGACACUUAAGUGUGACGUCUAUAGUUUCGGAGUUAUUCUCUUGGAGACACUCAGUGGGCGAAGGAACGGUGGCAUGCAGGGCCUCCUUUCACAUGCCUGGGGAUUGUGGGAGACGAACAUGAUCGCGGAACUUUUGGACACAACAAUGGUACCACUCUCUGAGUCCGAGCCUGAGCUCUUGUCCGAGCUGACACGAUGUAUCCAGAUUGGGCUCCUCUGCAUCCAGGAAACUCCUUGUGACAGGCCGACCAUGUCCGCCGUUGUUCCCAUGUUGAUGAGCACGACGUCGCAAAUCGACCGGCCAAGAAGAAGGCCACCUUUGGAUUGCGAAGGAUUCAUGCCUUCAGAUUCAUCACAUGGGCUCGAGACCAAACUCUUGAGAUCAACUACGAUUGAUUUGACGUAG
RNAcentral lists this ribosomal RNA (2436 nucleotides) under Triticum aestivum (bread wheat). RNAcentral describes it as "partial small subunit ribosomal RNA". The record is from RNAcentral. Lineage: Eukaryota; Viridiplantae; Streptophyta; Magnoliopsida; Poales; Poaceae.